RNAcentral lists this long non-coding RNA (1612 nucleotides) under Anas platyrhynchos platyrhynchos (common mallard). Its description in RNAcentral is "lncRNA (ENSAPLG00000022905.1)". The record is from RNAcentral. Lineage: Eukaryota; Metazoa; Chordata; Aves; Anseriformes; Anatidae.
AUUAAAUGGGGAGCAGGAGCCAAAAGGGAAAUUGCAAACCCCUGAAAAGGAGAGUUAAGAGACUAAAAUCAUACCUCAUUUACAUAUUUUGCCAUCAUAUCAGCAAGUUUAGCCAAAUUAUAUUAGGGAAAAUUGAUACUGACAUUAAACAGCAGUAACUCUAUUGGCUUAAAAAGUUACUCCAGAGCUGUGCUGAGAUCAGAAUUUGGCCCAGUGUUUGAAGAGUACUUUGAUCAUAUGUAAAUUUCCUGGUAUUACUGAACUGGAAUUUGCUGAAAAGCAUGUGACUGAGCUUCCUUUAGGACUUCCAUCCCUGUAGAGCAGCUCUUUGUUCAGCAAGCAUAGUUCAGCUUCACCCCUCUAUUCCUUCUGCCUGGUGGCUGUCCUAUUGGUCCCAGGAGUAAAGAGUGACCUUACUUAUGCUUGUGUUGUGCUGACUUUUAAUUUUCUCUCUCUGACUCUUAAGCUAGUGCAGGCGCUUGGAACACACCCCGGUGCAUCUGCAUCCAAUCCUGACACUUUGGCUGGGAGAGAGGAGAAGGAGGUUGGGUUCUGCUGUCCACCAGCCAAGGACUCCCCAGGGCUGCAAGAAGCCUUCAAUCUGCUCCGGAUUCUCUCUGCAGCAAAAAAGGUUUUGGUGAACAGUUGUGGAAUGGACUGAAGAUUAAAAAAUGGUUCAUGAAGCACACCAGUCAAUACCCUUGCCUGCUUUUGAGAACAUGAGUUCUUAAUGCUGGCCUUACUGGAGAAGCUGAGCUCCUGGAAAUAUAACAAGAAUGAAGGAAAGAAAACCAGCGUUGCAUUUAAUUAUCUUGUGAUCCCAGGUUCUAAUGAGCACCCAAGCAACAUCCAUGAAGAAGCAAACAUCCCUGAGAAUGGAGAAGGGUUUUCAUGCUGGGAGCACCUGACAAGACCUGGGGCCAGCCCCAGAACAAUGACAGAAUAUGGAAUAUCUUGCUCAUUGGCUGAAUACAAACCUAUCCAUGAAUGACACAGGGACCAAAUGGAAAGCACUAUAAGAUCAUACAGUUAAAAUUUCAUCACGGUGACCACACAGGUGACAGACUGAGAGCUGCUACUUCUGAAACUUUAGAUCCUUGACUCUCCAGCAUUGUGAGUCUUCCUUCACUGUAGUCUUGAUAUAUUUUUCUAUACAUAGAAAUUGCAUAAGUGGACACUGCUUACCACUUGAAAAGAAGUGGAAGAAAUGUAGUGUUUAAUGAAAUGGAGAAAACAAAGUCCAUACUGGCAAUGUUUCUCCAUGUGCUCCUGACUUCAAGGCAGAGAUAUCACUGGGCCUGUCACUGAAGACUACAACAGGUUCACACAGAUUCAUGUGGGCAUUGGCUUUUUCUUGGGAAAGCUCUGGUUACAUAUUUGACCCAAAUCUUUUAAUAUACAUUUGUACUGUAGACUUUGUCUAAGGCAUCUGAAGCUAUCACUAUGUUGCUUCAAUAAUCUUCAGUCAGUCCGUAGCAGAUUUCUGUGAAGGAGAUUUGGAAAACAUGUACUUUUGUGUUGUACCGGUCUCUUUCUAUUAAUAUCUUGGCCCAUUUUGGCAAUAUUUCUAAAUAUGAAUAAAAUAUUAAUCUGCAGAUUAAAUACUAAGACC